UGGGGAAUAUUGGACAAUGGGCGAAAGCCUGAUCCAGCCAUGCCGCGUGUGUGAAGAAGGUCUUCGGAUUGUAAAGCACUUUAAGUUGGGAGGAAGGGCAGUAAGCGAAUACCUUGCUGUUUUGACGUUACCGACAGAAUAAGCACCGGCUAACUCUGUGCCAGCAGCCGCGGUAAUACAGAGGGUGCAAGCGUUAAUCGGAAUUACUGGGCGUAAAGCGCGCGUAGGUGGUUCGUUAAGUUGAAUGUGAAAGCCCCGGGCUCAACCUGGGAACUGGAUCCAAAACUGGCGAGCUAGAGUAGGGCAGAGGGUGGUGGAAUUUCCUGUGUAGCGGAGAAAUGCGUAGAUAUAGGAAGGAACACCAGUGGCGAAGGCGACCACCUGGGCUCAUACUGACACUGAGGUGCGAAAGCGUGGGGAGCAAACAGG
This 429-nucleotide ribosomal RNA is filed under the name Pseudomonadota bacterium. RNAcentral's name for it is "Proteobacteria bacterium partial 16S ribosomal RNA". It matches the Rfam family "Bacterial small subunit ribosomal RNA", at positions 355 to 776 of the family's 1533-position model. The record is from RNAcentral. Lineage: Bacteria; Pseudomonadati; Pseudomonadota.